This 496-nucleotide ribosomal RNA is filed under the name uncultured bacterium. RNAcentral describes it as "partial 16S ribosomal RNA". It matches the Rfam family "Bacterial small subunit ribosomal RNA", at positions 28 to 506 of the family's 1533-position model. The record is from RNAcentral.
GAUGAACGCUGGCGGCGUGCCUAAUACAUGCAAGUCGAGCGAACAGACGAGGAGCUUGCUCCUCUGACGUUAGCGGCGGACGGGUGAGUAACACGUGGAUAACCUACCUAUAAGACUGGGAUAACUUCGGGAAACCGGAGCUAAUACCGGAUAAUAUAUUGAACCGCAUGGUUCAAUAGUGAAAGACGGUUUUGCUGUCACUUAUAGAUGGAUCCGCGCCGCAUUAGCUAGUUGGUAAGGUAACGGCUUACCAAGGCAACGAUGCGUAGCCGACCUGAGAGGUGGAUCGGCCACACUGAAACUGAGCCACGGUCCAGCCCCCUACGGGAGGCAGCAGUAGGGAAUCUUCCGCAAUGGGCGAAAGCCUGACGGAGCAACGCCGCGUGAGUGAUGAAGGUCUUCGGAUCGUAAAACUCUGUUAUUAGGGAAGAACAAAUGUGUAAGUAACUAUGCACGUCUUGACGGUACCUAAUCAGAAAGCCACGGCUAACUACGU